Molecule: long non-coding RNA, 1294 nt
Filed under: Mytilus galloprovincialis (Mediterranean mussel)
Lineage: Eukaryota; Metazoa; Mollusca; Bivalvia; Mytilida; Mytilidae
Source: RNAcentral
ACCUGGAUUAAAUGACAUAAUUAAGACAGGUGCAAACAAAUGCAGAGGGUUUAAACGUUUUAAUAGGUACCAAUCUUCAUCCUUACCUGAAACAACAGUGUAACAUCACAAUUUAGAAAGACACAUAUUAGUAUAAACAGUUUCACAACUCAAGGGCUACUCAAGAAGGGCAAGCUGACAAUCUCAACGUCUCCUUGGUGCUAAAAUCAAUGAAUUUGUUAAUAUGAUCAACAGAAAUGUUAUGGACAGUAAACAAAGACUGUAUGGGUUUAUAAUGAGUAGGCAAAGACCUUGGCAGAUUUCCUGUCAUACAUACACCAUUCAUAGUUUGGAUUGACAAUGGAUCUGUUUGAUUUUUUUCAUCAAAACAGAUUUAUUUCAUAAAAAUAAAGUUAAUGUGGUGUAUCAAAGAAACUUAGGUUGGCUUGUAAAUGUGUGAUACUUGGCAUUUUUACAUAAACCUUUAACAAUACUUGAGAUACUACAAGAUGCAACACUUUUUUAAUCACAAUGUAUUUAAAUCCUUGCUGGUGUACGGAAACAGUGAAAAAUAUAGAAAUGGCCUUUUACUGUUUUUUUUCUUCUAAAGUCCUGCACCAAGUCAGGAAUGUUGCAGUUGUUAUAAAAUAGUUCGUUUCUAUGUGUGUUGACAUUUAAUUUCGUUGCACUUUUGUGUUUCUGUUGUUCCUUUGUUUUCCUCCUAUAGUUGAUGUGUUUGCCAUGGUUUUGGUUUGUUACCCAGAUUUGUUUUCUCUCAAUCGAUUUCUGACUUUUGAAUACCAGUAUACUACUGUUGCCUUUAAUACCCAUAAAAUAUAUCAUCAUAUAUACCAAACCAGGAAACUUAUAUGCAAGUUUUCACGCCUUUGUACCAUGACUGGAAGGGCAUAACUUCAUAAACUGUAUGCAUGUUGACUGAAACCAUUCACUAAAUAACAAUGACCUAUCACAGGAACUUAUUUGAAUAUGGAUGAUUGCAACUUCUGAUAACUAUAUCAUUCAUGCCUUGUUCUUUACCAUCUGUUGGAGACAAGACAAACAAUGUGACAUUUUAUUUCACUGUAAUUAAAAUGAGUAACUACCAGGUAACAUAUAUCCAUAAGAUAGUCUUCAGUUAAAGAAAGCCUGCUAGGGGUAAAUAUCUUCUUAAAUUAAGGUUUAUCAUGUUUAUACCUUACAAUUAUAAAUAUCUAUCCCACUUUCAAACAAAGAAUAAAACCUGGUAAACAUAAUCCUAGAUUGGUACAAGCCACCUAAAUUUAAUAUCAAAAACGUAAAUAUAUAUUCUAUAAAC